AUACGUAGGGCGCGAGCGUUGUCAGGAAUUACUGGGUGUAAAGGGAGCGUAGGCGGGAGUGCAAGUCAGCUGUGAAAUACCUGGGCUCAACCCAUGGGCUGCAUUUGAAACUGCAUUUCUUGAGUGACGUAGAGGUAAGCGGAAAUCCUGGUGUAGCGGUGAAAUGCGUAGAUAUUAGAAGGAACACACGGGGCGAAGGCGGCUUGCGGGGCUGUUACUGCCGCUGGGACACGAAAGCGUGGGGAGAAAAUAGAAUUAUAUACCCUAGUGGUCCACGCCGUAAACGAUGAGUACUAAGUGUCGGGUAACCGGUGCUGAAGUUAACACAUUAAGUACUCCGCCUGAGGAGUACGGUCGCAAGGUUGAAACUCAAAUGAAUUGACGGGG
Molecule: ribosomal RNA, 387 nt
Filed under: uncultured bacterium
Lineage: Bacteria
Description: partial 16S ribosomal RNA
Rfam family: Bacterial small subunit ribosomal RNA
Source: RNAcentral